GGAGCAACUAAACUCGAGUUUCGGCCGCUGUUUGGGAUAAGAGAAAGGAAAAGAAAAGAGGAGAAAAAAUGGAAGCAGAAGAAGAACAAAAGCCAGAGAACGAACAACCAAGGACCAGUCCAAUUACGGAAUCCCAAUUCCACUCUUGGAAGCGCCAAAAGAUCUCUCUCUCUCUCUCUCUCUGCUUUUCCUAUAGUAAUGGUUGAUUUUUCUUUCUACAAUUAGGGUUUAUAGUUCUCAUGUUCUUAUUAUAGUUUCACCUAAUUUCCUAUAAAUCGCAUUUUUGCCUCAAUAAUAAUAGAACUAAGCAAUGAAUAAUUUCAAUUUUCCAUUAAAAUCUAAAAUCUUGGAGCUGACAGAGUCCUUAAAAGAUAGAGGUUCAAUUUCCUUAAGUUUUAUUCAAUUUCUUCAGUUUUUUCAUAUUGUAUUUCCGAAUGUGUUUAUUGGACUUCUUAGGUUCUAAUUCAUGUGAUUUUCAGGAUGCAGAUGCAUCAGCUAAGAAAGCUGAGGCAGCUAGGAAACGUGCCAAAGAUGUAGCAGCCAGAACCGUGCAAAUGAACGGACAGGAGCUUUUCUUACAUGAACCUUGGGUGUUUGAUAACUCUCAAUAUUAAGGUUAGUUUCAAUGAGAGACCAUGUAUAUUAUUUUAAGGUUCUGCCUCUCAAGUUUCAAGUCUUGUUGCUUCAAUAGAAGGAAGAAUUAGUCCUACGGCAAGAAACAAGUAUUUCUAGGUUUUCGGUUCUAACAUUGAUAGUGUAUCUUUAAGUCAUUUUACAUUUUCCCCUUUGUUUAGUAUGCUAACUUUGUUGAUACUUAAACUACUGGGAUCAUUUGAUUAUUUAAUUGACACAGCUUUUGAUUGUUAUGUUUAUAGAUUGUGG
This 882-nucleotide long non-coding RNA is filed under the name Durio zibethinus. Its description in RNAcentral is "long non-coding RNA (DZIB_LNC000021)". Lineage: Eukaryota; Viridiplantae; Streptophyta; Magnoliopsida; Malvales; Malvaceae. The record is from RNAcentral.